CUUUGGGAUAACCCUCGGAAACGGGGGCUAAUACCGAAUAUUACUGCUGGACGCAUGUUUGGUGGUGGAAAGUUUUUCGGCCUGGGAUGGGCUCGCGGCCUAUCAGCUUGUUGGUGGGGUGAUGGCCUACCAAGGCGACGACGGGUAGCCGGCCUGAGAGGGCGACCGGCCACACUGGGACUGAGACACGGCCCAGACUCCUACGGGAGGCAGCAGUGGGGAAUAUUGCACAAUGGGCGGAAGCCUGAUGCAGCGACGCCGCGUGAGGGAUGACGGCCUUCGGGUUGUAAACCUCUUUCAGCUCCGACGAAGCGAGAGUGACGGUAGGAGCAGAAGAAGCGCCGGCCAACUACGUGCCAGCAGCCGCGGUAAGACGUAGGGCGCGAGCGUUGUCCGGAUUUAUUGGGCGUAAAGAGCUCGUAGGCGGCUUGUCGCGUCGACUGUGAAAACCCACAGCUCAACUGUGGGCUUGCAGUCGAUACGGGCAGGCUAGAGUUCGGUAGGGGAGACUGGAAUUCCUGGUGUAGCGGUGAAAUGCGCAGAUAUCAGGAGGAACACCGGUGGCGAAGGCGGGUCUCUGGGCCGAUACUGACGCUGAGGAGCGAAAGCGUGGGGAGCGAACAGGAUUAGAUACCCUGGUAGUCCACGCUGUAAACGUUGGGCGC
This 665-nucleotide ribosomal RNA is filed under the name uncultured Micromonosporaceae bacterium. RNAcentral describes it as "bacterial SSU rRNA". It matches the Rfam family "Bacterial small subunit ribosomal RNA", at positions 136 to 816 of the family's 1533-position model. Lineage: Bacteria; Bacillati; Actinomycetota; Actinomycetes; Micromonosporales; Micromonosporaceae. The record is from RNAcentral.